Long non-coding RNA from Magnolia sinica, 553 nucleotides. RefSeq lists it as uncharacterized. Lineage: Eukaryota; Viridiplantae; Streptophyta; Magnoliopsida; Magnoliales; Magnoliaceae. The record is from RefSeq and is a predicted model, not a curated record. The transcript is spliced from 3 exons.
AUGGUCUUAGGUGUUGACCAUUGACUUUGAAAUUGUUUUAUUUGCAGUCUUGAAAAAGUUCUGUUUCUGGAGUAGGUUUCUUUCUCUUCGUGUUCGACUUUAAGGAACAUUUUAACUCAUCUCCUCCAAUUUGGGAGGACGUUCUGUUUCUGGUGUUGCUCUCCAGUUCACAUGUAUAUUUCUUUAUAUAUGAUCAUUUAUGUAGAUAUAAAUUGAUCGUUUGUGUUUGAAGUUCUUGACAAAUGGUACCUGGUGACAGCCUUUGUUGAUGGAUGGCUGAAAAUGUUCCUGUCCCUUGAGCUUGAUCUUGACAGAUUUGCAUUCAUUAAAAGGAUUCAAGUUACGUAACUUGAAUUUAUUUCUAAGGAUUCUCUUGGCUGCAGACGUUCCAUUAAGUUGAAAUAAGCAGAUCUACUGUCUUAAGCUUUUCUUUUUAACGAUCAUGAGGAUUACAGAGAUUGCUGGCAUUGUUCUCUCAUUUGACCCGAAGCCUAUCCAGGUAAAUUUAUUUUUGGAUGCCACCUAUCUUCUUCUUCUUUUUUUCAUUGUUUUA